Molecule: ribosomal RNA, 292 nt
Filed under: uncultured bacterium
Lineage: Bacteria
Description: partial 16S ribosomal RNA
Source: RNAcentral
GGACUACUGGGGUUUCUAAUCCCGUUUGCUCCCCUGGCUUUCGUGUCUCAGUGUCAGCACACCCCCAGCUACCUGUUUUCACCAUUGGCGUUCCUAACGAUAUCUACGCAUUUCACCGCUCCACCGUUAGUUCCGGUAGCCCCUGAGUGGCUCAAGACACCCAGUAUGUCAAGCAAUUCCACGGUUAAGCCGUGGGAUUUCACAAAACACUUAGGCAUCCACCUACACACGCUUUAAGCCCAGUGAUUCCGCCUAACGCUUGAGGCCUCUGUAUUACCGCGGCUGCUGGCAC